This 459-nucleotide ribosomal RNA is filed under the name uncultured bacterium. RNAcentral describes it as "partial 16S ribosomal RNA". It matches the Rfam family "Bacterial small subunit ribosomal RNA", at positions 338 to 795 of the family's 1533-position model. The record is from RNAcentral.
CCUACGGGUGGCUGCAGUGAGGAAUAUUGGUCAAUGGCCGGAAGACUGAACCAGCCAAGCCGCGUGAAGGACGAAGGUGCCAAGCAUUGUAAACUUCUUUUGUCAAGGGAUAAAAUCAGUCUCGAGAGCCUGACCGAGGGUACUUGAAGAAAAAGCAUCGGCUAACUCCGUGCCAGCAGCCGCGGUAAUACGGAGGAUGCGAGCUUUAUCCGGAUUUAUUGGGUUUACAGGGUGCGUAGGCGGACUGUUAAGUCAGCGGUAAAAGCCCGGGGCGCAACCCGGGCGAGCGGUUGCAACUGGCUUUCUUGAGAUGUCGAGAGGUAUGCGGAAUGCGCAGUGUAGCGGUGAAAUGCUUAGAUAUCGCGCAGAACUCCGAUUGCGAAGGCAGCAUACGGGCGGCGAUCUGACGCUGAGGCACGAAAGCGUGGGUAUCGAACAGGAUUAGAUACCCUUGUAGUC